CAUCUUAAAAGUAACAAGGAUACGAAUGGCAGUGUGCUACGGUUAAACAUCAUUGGAAGCAGCGUGCGGGUCCCCCCGAACUUGGGGCUGCGCCGUUUCUGCCUCGGUGCACCAGGCUGGCAGACGAGGACGCGGAGGGUCGGAAUGAGUACGUUUCUUUCGACACCUUACCCACUUUGCCCCUCACUUCUCUCAGGUUUGCGUUCAUUUUUUAGGGGCAAUUUUGUAACUCAAUUAUUCCUUCCACUCCCACCGUCGUCACUAAGAACGACACGUUACAAGCAGUGCUACGCGGCGCCGAACUUGUUAUUUCUCCGCUUCUGGGCUUGGUAGGACGCUCUGCGACCACGAAACCAGCGACGGGGAUGUUCCGUGUCGAUCGGCUCCUCGCCAACACCGGCGAACUCGCACGCCCGGCGCCACCUCACGUGCUCCUCGCUCACCCAUCGCCCCUUCAGCCGGCGCCUGUCGCCGCUCCAUGUCACCUGCCCCAUCCCGUUUUCUCUCGUUCAAACCCUAACCCUAAUGGUGGCUAUCGAACAAGACGAGAACAAGCUGAGGGAGAAAGAGGAGAAGGGAAUUUAGAUUGGAUCGGGAGAUGGAAGGGACGGGGGCGGCGCCGUCGAGACCGCGGAAACCGGCUCUGCUGGAGCGAGUUGAAGCGUCGGCGAUUGUCGGCGCUUGGGCUGACCGCUACCUCGACCUGAACCGCGGGAACCUCCAGCGAAAGCGCUGAAGAUCGUCGACGGCAUCAACUCCGGCCGUGGUGCUGGUUGCCGCUGGAACCGCACCGACGUUCAGUGCAAGAACCGGAUCGACAUCCUGAAGAACAAGUACUGGGUCGAAGAGGUUCGCAUUGCCGGCGGCGAUGCCGAGAGCCAGUGGCCCCCCUUCUCCCGCCUCGACGCCCUCAUCGGUUGCGCGACCUCGGCCGCGAAGAAGCCCCCGUCUCGCCGGUGCUCGCGCUGACGCUCUCUUUCCAUCGCAAGUGUUCCCCCGAGGGAAAAGCGGCCGGCCUUCUCCACUACGUUCCUGGGGGCGGCCGGUUCUUCAGGCUCGCGGCCGCAGUGGACGAGGAGGAGGUAUUGCGGUCGCUGUCAAGGUCGUCCUCGAGGUCAGGAAGGGGGUGGAAGUGAGGGAGGGAAGGAGAGGGCAAUGGGAUCCGAGAACGGGCUGGGGCGAUCAUGAGAUUUGCUGAGAUCAAUGAAGGGUAGAGGAGGUAAAGCAGAGGCAGAUGAUGCAACUCGAAAGCCAGAAGAUGGAGUUUGUUAAGGUGCUGGAACAGAUGCAGAUUUCCAUGGAUUCACAGGUGCAGCUUGCGAAGAUCAAGCGUGUCAAGCGAUCGGACACUGAUACGCUGCAACAGUGAGGAGAGGUACAGAAUCAUCUUCAUUUCCUCAUGUGAACUGGUAUUUGUUUAUUUCUGAUUUAAUUCGAGAGAUAUCAUGUUUGAAUUCCCUCCUCCACCACAAUUUUAAGUCUUCGGUGGCUGUGGAUAUGAUCGCUAGAGUUGGGAAUGCAGUUUUGACCACUGGAAUAUUGUCAUUGGUUAUUCAUUUAUGCUGAUUUUUUUGGUAGCUCUUCAGCUUUGCAUAUGUGUUGUUUUGAUGUGUCAAAUCACUAACAGAAAACCUGCUACUGUUAUAUGUCAAAAGAAUUUAAAAUCUAAGUAGACUUUCUGCUAGAAGCUUUGAAUUUUAAAUAUGUAGUGGAAUCAUUGCAAUCAGACCAAGGCAUGUUGUAUGUUUUUGUGGAACCAAAUGUUCUUUCAUGGAAGAAACACUAGCAGCUUUUGGUUUCAAUCUUGUGACAACUCCAAGAAAAUAUUGUUUUUCUUUUGUAGUUCACAAGGGGAUCUCAAAGAGCAGUAGAUUAUGAAUUUAGAUGCUACAUUUCUAGUGUUGGCAUGUAAUAUGAGGAAUACUUCAAUCUUGUGACCGCUGCCAGGACAUUGUUUUUCUUCAGUAGUUUAUAAGGUUGAUCUCGAAGAGCAGUCGGUUAUGAAUUUAAAUGCUAUAUUUCUAGAGUUGAAUGUAUUUCAAUAGUUUUCAGCUCUACUUAGUUUAAAACUCUUAAUUUCUAUGAUUUGUCACUUUUACUCAAUUUUAAAAUUAAUCUCAACUAAAUUCUUCUCAGUUCCAACUAUAUCAUCAACAAACAAAAAUAAUGGUGCCCUGCUAAAUACUAGGAUUUCAUAGAGAUUCAUUAUAAAUUCAUGGGGCCAAACACCCUUGAAACUCCACCCAGGAAUUUUUCAUCCAAAAUAUUCUAUACUAAAAGUAGCAUUAUUUAAAUCCACCUUCCAAAACCCUUGUUUAAGCUCCAUAGCCUAUUUAGUAUGACAAUUUCAUACAAUUGAACCAAGCACUCUCAAAAUUUCAUCUUCAAAAUCCCAAUCUCUUAAUUCUUCUCUCCACAUUCUGGGACACAAGUUCCAACUGCACCAAUGAAUUUUCAAAUUCUAGAAUAUACAGAUUCUCACUCAUGCAUCCCAUGUUUGACAUCUCCCAAUCAAACACAAAAUUUGAUUCCUUUUUUUUUUUUGCAUAAACUUGGGAUUUGGAUAUUUACUCAGCAUUUUUUUUUUGUUUUGAGAAAUCCUGAGAUUUUAAAUCCCUAUACAUGGGACUAUGAAAGUUUAUCCUGAAUAAUAGAAAACCUUUUGGGAUAGCAAACUUAUGAACAUCUUGUGAUAUCAAAAUGAUAAAUUAUUGAUUACUUGGAUAAUUUAAAGCCAUUGUUAUAUAUUCCAGGGAUUCUGAAGCUGAAAAAUUGAUCGAGUCAAAUCAAAGAUUUUAUUACUUUGACCUUGAGUAAGAUGAAAUCAAAGUGUCAUGCUUCAUAAGUAGCCAGCCAUGUUUUUGAAAUUUCUGCCUACAAUCUCUGCUGAAGUGUAGGCAAAAGAUUUGUAAGAUUCUUGUAGGUUAUUUUAAUUAAUUUCCCACAAUAUUGUGAAAGCAUUUGCCUGCUUCCAAUCCGAUUUAUUUGAUGUCGCUUUAUCCUCAUUAGUUCCUAUUGCCAUACAAUAUUUGGAGAAUGGAACUUACAUUGAAUAUUGAUUAUGAACUCCUGAUCCCUGAAUGAGUAUUUCCUUUAGAAAUAGCUCGUGACAUGUGAUUUUCUCAUGAUAUUCUGCUUUGAAAAGAUACAAAGAGUAUGAAGAAAAAUAAUCAAAUGUGUCUGGUAUUUGUCAUAUUCUGUUUCAAUCAGCACUUAAAAAAGCCUUUUUAAAGUUUUGAUAGUCCCAUAUUCUGAGACUUAAAAUGAUAUUAGAUUCUAUUUGACAAUGGUAGAUUUACUCCUGUUAAUGCCCUGACCACUAAGAUGGAGCAUGUAGUUUCUUAGCUUCCUCUAUCAAGUUUUAAGUCUCCUCUAUACUUUUUUGCAUUUGUUGUAGCACAGGCAUUUUGAUUCCUUUCGGACUUCUGGAGUACCUUUAGUAUCAGAACUGACAUGCUAAGCACAGACCCGUAUUUCUGUUAUAUAUUCCUUGUGAUCCACAUUUUGUUCAGGCAUAUCUGGUUAUUUUCUGUAUGAACUUGUACUACCACAAGCAGUUGACCCGUCUCAUCAGCUUCAGCUUUAACUGCAUCAUGAGAUCUCCCAUCAGCUAAAUCUCUUAUCCGUCUGAUACCAUGUUCUCACUGAUCUGUGAUUAAGUUGCUGACUCGGGUGCCUCAUUAUGCAGGCAUAUUUGGCAUGUUUAGUUUGGCUGGAUUUUGUGGUCAAAUAUCAGAAUUGGUAUAUUUUUGUCAUUAAAAUGCUUUUUCAUUAUCAUCGUACACUUUCUAACAAUUUCACAUCUUCUUCCUGGACAAAAAUGUUGUCUCACAAUGUCUCUACUGGUGAUUUGUCGUUUCUGAAUACAAGCUGUUUAAACCUAUUCCAUACGUGAUUUAUUACAUCUAAAUUAUUCUAUUCUGCUUGCAUUGGUUAU
Musa acuminata AAA Group (dessert banana) is the source of this 3937-nucleotide long non-coding RNA. RefSeq lists it as uncharacterized. The transcript has 2 exons. The record is from RefSeq and is a predicted model, not a curated record. Lineage: Eukaryota; Viridiplantae; Streptophyta; Magnoliopsida; Zingiberales; Musaceae.